GACAAACGCUGGCGGCGUGCUUAACACAUGCAAGUCGAACGGAGUACCCGAGAAUGAAGCUUCGGCAGAUUUUUUGGAAUACUUAGUGGCGGACGGGUGAGUAACACGUGGGAACGUACAUUGUAGUGGGGGAACAACAGAGGGAAACUUCUGCUAAUACCGCAUAAUCCCUGAGGGGGAAAGAUUUAUCGCUAUAAUAUCGGCCCGCGGAAGAUUAGGUAGUUGGUGGGGUAAAGGCCUACCAAGCCUACGAUCUAUAGCUGGUCUGAGAGGACGAUCAGCCACAUUGGAACUGAGACACGGUCCAGACUCCUACGGGAGGCAGCAGUGAGGAAUAUUGGGCAAUGGAGGGAACUCUGACCCAGCCAUGCCGCGUGAGUGAGAAGGUUUUCGAAUUGUAAAGCUCUUUCAGGUGAGAAGAUGAUGACGGUAUCACCAGAAGAAGCCCCGGCAAACUUCGUG
RNAcentral lists this ribosomal RNA (462 nucleotides) under uncultured bacterium. Its description in RNAcentral is "bacterial SSU rRNA". It matches the Rfam family "Bacterial small subunit ribosomal RNA", at positions 28 to 507 of the family's 1533-position model. The record is from RNAcentral.